Molecule: ribosomal RNA, 427 nt
Filed under: uncultured bacterium
Lineage: Bacteria
Description: partial 16S ribosomal RNA
Rfam family: Bacterial small subunit ribosomal RNA
Source: RNAcentral
UAGGGAAUCUUCCGCAAUGGGCGAAAGCCUGACGGAGCAACGCCGCGUGAGUGAUGAAGGUCUUCGGAUCGUAAAACUCUGUUAUUAGGGAAGAACAUAUGUGUAAGUAACUGUGCACAUCUUGACGGUACCUAAUCAGAAAGCCACGGCUAACUACGUGCCAGCAGCCGCGGUAAUACGUAGGUGGCAAGCGUUAUCCGGAAUUAUUGGGCGUAAAGCGCGCGUAGGCGGUUUUUUAAGUCUGAUGUGAAAGCCCACGACUCAACCGUGGAGGGUCAUUGGAAACUGGAAAACUUGAGUGCAGAAGAGGAAAGUGGAAUUCCAUGUGUAGCGGUGAAAUGCGCAGAGAUAUGGAGGAACACCAGUGGCGAAGGCGACUUUCUGGUCUGUAACUGACGCUGAUGUGCGAAAGCGUGGGGAUCAAACA